Molecule: ribosomal RNA, 253 nt
Filed under: uncultured bacterium
Lineage: Bacteria
Description: partial 16S ribosomal RNA
Rfam family: Bacterial small subunit ribosomal RNA
Source: RNAcentral
UACGUAGGGUGCGAGCGUUAAUCGGAAUUACUGGGCGUAAAGCGUGCGCAGGCGGUUUUGUAAGCCAGAUGUGAAAGCCCCGGGCUUAACCUGGGAAUGGCAUUUGGGACUGCAAGGCUUGAGUGCGGCAGAGGAGACUGGAAUUCCUGGUGUAGCAGUGAAAUGCGUAGACAUCAGGAGGAAUACCGAUGGCGAAGGCAGGUCUCUGGGCUGACACUGACGCUCAUGCACGAAAGCGUGGGGAGCAAACAGG